This 29-nucleotide small RNA is filed under the name Bombyx mori (domestic silkworm). Its description in RNAcentral is "piRNA piR-bmo-1312545". The record is from RNAcentral. Lineage: Eukaryota; Metazoa; Arthropoda; Insecta; Lepidoptera; Bombycidae.
CAGAAGUCGAGCAUCGCCCUCCAGGACGC